GGAGAGGUGGCCGAGCGGCUGAAGGCGAUUGACUCGAAAUCAAUUGUCCCCUCUGGGGACCGGGGGUUCAAAUCCCUCCCUCUCCG
This 86-nucleotide transfer RNA is filed under the name Nitrospinae bacterium RIFCSPLOWO2_12_FULL_47_7. RNAcentral describes it as "tRNA-Ser". It matches the Rfam family "tRNA". Rfam says of the family: Transfer RNA (tRNA) molecules are approximately 80 nucleotides in length. Their secondary structure includes four short double-helical elements and three loops (D, anti-codon, and T loops). Lineage: Bacteria; Pseudomonadati; Nitrospinota. The record is from RNAcentral.